This 492-nucleotide ribosomal RNA is filed under the name uncultured bacterium. RNAcentral describes it as "partial 16S ribosomal RNA". It matches the Rfam family "Bacterial small subunit ribosomal RNA", at positions 29 to 507 of the family's 1533-position model. The record is from RNAcentral.
AGUGAACGCUGGCGGUAGGCCUAACACAUGCAAGUCGAACGGCAGCACAGUAAGAGCUUGCUCUUACGGGUGGCGAGUGGCGGACGGGUGAGGAAUACAUCGGAAUCUACUUUUUCGUGGGGGAUAACGUAGGGAAACUUACGCUAAUACCGCAUACGACCUACGGGUGAAAGCAGGGGAUCUUCGGACCUUGUGCGAUUGAAUGAGCCGAUGUCGGAUUAGCUAGUUGGGGGGGUAAAGGCCCACCAGGGCGGCGAUCCGUAGCUGGUGUGAGAGGAUGGUCGGCGACACUGGAGGGUGGACACGGACAAGAGUCCUACGGGACGGAGCAGUGGGGAAUAGUGGACAGUAGGGGGAAGUCUGAUCCAACCAUACCGAGUGUGUGAAGGAGGCCUUCCGUUUGUGAAGACCUUUUGUUGGGUGAGAAAAGCAUCAGGUUAAUACGCAGCGGUUCUGACGGUACCCAAAGAAUAAGCACCGGCUAACUUCGUG